UUUACGAAACAACGCAAUAAAACUUCUCCGACACGGUGGUUUGUAAUUUUGUAGCUCAGUCUAUAGCAGCCAGCCUAUAGGAACUUAUCUCUAUCUCUUCUGUCAGUUUACUACUUCAAGUCAACUGGAUUUAGAUUCAGAAUUAGAUACGUUCGAAACUGGAACACUUCCCCUAACUCAACUGCUUGAACUCAUGAACAACUCUUUGCAGUUCGCUCGUUUCUUCUUCCUCUUCAUCAUAACUUUCGUGCGCGAAUCGUCCAGCUCAGCGAUCAUCAAUCCAUCCAAAGCCAAGCAAAUUUCAUGGAAACCUAGAGCAUUUGUAUAUGAAGGAUUUCUUACGGAUGAAGAAUGCAAUCACUUGAUAUCUCUCGCAAAAUCGGAGCUGAAGAGAUCGGCUGUGGCAGAUAAUGAGUCUGGAAAUAGUAAGACCAGUGAGGUUAGGACUAGCUCCGGAAUGUUCAUUCCCAAAGCUAAGGUACUCAAUCCGCGUGUUCGGAAUUCACAAUCCACUGCCUUUGAUCCACUUGGCAAUACCCGCCCCAUCCCUGACACAGUUGUUUUAAUCUAAUAAUUUGAUGAUUGCUCCCUUUAAUAAUAGCUGAUGACUUCUUACAGGCUUCAGAUGGAUCCUAUUGUUUCUGGGAUAGAGGAGAAGAUAGCAACUUGGACUUUCCUACCAAAAGUGUCUAGGUUCAUUCUGUAAUACUCCCUCUCAAGCUGGAGUAUAUAUAUUGAUCAUGCCCAACUUGUUACAAAGGUAAUCAACUCGAGUGCCAUUCAAUGCUUUAGUGAACAAAUCGGCUAGCUGCUCUCCUGUCUUCACGUAGCCAGUGGAAAUCAAGUUCUCCUGAAUCUUCUCACGAAUAAAAUGACAGUCAACUUCAAUAUGUUUGGUUCUUUCAUGAUACAUUGGAUUUGAGGCAAUAUGGAGUGCAGCUUGAUUAGCACACUAGAGUUUUGAUGGAGUAGGAUGCUUCAACCCAAUUUCAGUUAAAAGGUGAUGUAUUCACAUUAUCUCACAUGUGGAUUGUGCCAUAGAUCUAUACUCUUUGUUUGUUACUUCUCCAUGAUACCAAGUUUCCACCAACAAAUACACAGUAACCAGUAGUAGAUCUUCUAUCAAUCUUGGAUCCAGCCCAAUCUAUAUCUGCAAAACAAUCAAUGGGAGAAUGACCGUGAUUACUGUAUAAUAUGCCAAGUCUAGGAGCUUCUUUUAAGUAACAUAGGAUCUGGUCUAAAGCCUCCCAAUGUUUAACUGUGGGCGCGGACAUGAACUGGUUAACCAUACUCACUGCAAAAGCAAUAUCUGGACGAGUCACAGUGAGAUAGUUUAAUCUCCUAACUAACCUCCUGUAUCUAUCGGAUCAUUAAAUGGAUCGCCAUCAUCUUUUAUAAGAUGCAAAUGAAGAACCAUUGGAGUACUGCAAAGCUUGGCAGCCAACUUACCAGUUUCUGCUAGUAAGUCAAGAAUAUACUUUUCUGAGAUAAAAAAAUUCCCUUCCUGCUUCUAGUUAUUUCUACUCCUAAGAAAUAUUUCAGUUGUCCAAAGUCUUUUGUAUGAAACUUAGUAUGCAAGAAAGACUUGAGAGAAGAGAUUCCUGCAUAAUCACUCCCUAUGAUAACCACAUAUACAACAAGGAGAAUAGAUCCGGCUGUUGAUUACUUGUAGAAGAUAGAAUGAUCACAUUUGCUUUUUUUUAGCCCAAAUUCUUGAACUGCUUCACUAAAUUUACCAAAUCAAGCCCGGGGACUCUGCUUCAAGCCAUAUAAGGAUUUCUUCAAAUGACAGACCUUGCCAUAACCCCCCCCCCCC
Nicotiana tabacum (common tobacco) is the source of this 1816-nucleotide non-coding RNA. The record is from RefSeq and is a predicted model, not a curated record. Lineage: Eukaryota; Viridiplantae; Streptophyta; Magnoliopsida; Solanales; Solanaceae.